AUCCAGCUGAUGAGCCCCAAAUAGGACGAAACGCGCUUUGUUCUGGAU
Molecule: non-coding RNA, 48 nt
Organism: Schistosoma mansoni
Lineage: Eukaryota; Metazoa; Platyhelminthes; Trematoda; Strigeidida; Schistosomatidae
Source: Rfam